Molecule: ribosomal RNA, 98 nt
Filed under: uncultured bacterium
Lineage: Bacteria
Description: partial 16S ribosomal RNA
Rfam family: Bacterial small subunit ribosomal RNA
Source: RNAcentral
CACACCCCCCGUCACACCAUGGGAGUUUGCUGCACCAGAAGCAGGUAGCCUAACCGCAAGGGGGGCGCUUGCCACGGUCGUGGCCGAUGACUGGGGUG